This 114-nucleotide ribosomal RNA is filed under the name Pteropus alecto (black flying fox). Lineage: Eukaryota; Metazoa; Chordata; Mammalia; Chiroptera; Pteropodidae. The record is from RNAcentral.
GUCUGCGGCCAUGUCACCCUGAACAAGACCAAUGUCUGAUCUCAAACUAAGCAAGGUCAGGCCUGGUUAGUACUUGGAUGGGAGACCGCCUAGGAAGACCAGGUGCUGUAGGCA